Non-coding RNA from Nicotiana attenuata, 116 nucleotides. Lineage: Eukaryota; Viridiplantae; Streptophyta; Magnoliopsida; Solanales; Solanaceae. The record is from Rfam.
AGCCACGCAACGAGCACAGAGCGAACUAUUCUUUCGCCUUUUACUAAAGAAUACCGUGUGCGCAUUACAAAUAGUGGCAUACGCCAAUUUUUGGAGGGAUUUCUUUAACGGAAAUC